Molecule: small nuclear RNA, 189 nt
Organism: Pomacea canaliculata
Lineage: Eukaryota; Metazoa; Mollusca; Gastropoda; Architaenioglossa; Ampullariidae
Product: U2 spliceosomal RNA
Exons: 1
Source: RefSeq, a predicted model, not a curated record
UUCGUUUUCAAAGACUUCUUCGAAAAAUGUGAAACUCUGCUCUUAUCAGCGUAAUAUCUGAUACGUCCCCCAUAUGGGAACUUCAAUAUUACACUGAUUUAGAGAACAUGACAGAGGGUUAGGGACUUGUUCCACCUCUGCUAAGGGUAGACCUGGUGAUGUUGAAACUCCAGGGUUGGCCCACUCCCC